This 73-nucleotide transfer RNA is filed under the name Acidobacteriota bacterium. RNAcentral describes it as "Acidobacteria bacterium (hot springs metagenome) tRNA-Glu". It matches the Rfam family "tRNA". Rfam says of the family: Transfer RNA (tRNA) molecules are approximately 80 nucleotides in length. Their secondary structure includes four short double-helical elements and three loops (D, anti-codon, and T loops). Further hydrogen bonds mediate the characteristic L-shaped molecular structure. tRNAs have two regions of fundamental functional importance: the anti-codon, which is responsible for specific mRNA codon recognition, and the 3' end, to which the tRNAs corresponding amino acid is attached (by aminoacyl-tRNA synthetases). tRNAs cope with the degeneracy of the genetic code in two manners: having more than one tRNA (with a specific anti-codon) for a particular amino acid; and 'wobble' base-pairing, i.e. permitting non-standard base-pairing at the 3rd anti-codon position. RNAcentral also lists the same sequence under 2 other names. Lineage: Bacteria; Pseudomonadati; Acidobacteriota. The record is from RNAcentral.
GGCGCAUUCGUCUAGUGGACUAGGACGCUGGCCUCUCACGUCGGUAACGGGGGUUCGAAUCCCCUAUGCGCCG